This 254-nucleotide ribosomal RNA is filed under the name uncultured bacterium. RNAcentral describes it as "partial 16S ribosomal RNA". It matches the Rfam family "Bacterial small subunit ribosomal RNA", at positions 524 to 776 of the family's 1533-position model. The record is from RNAcentral.
UACGUAGGGUGCAAGCGUUGUCCGGAAUUAUUGGGCGUAAAGAGCUCGUAGGCGGUCUGUCGCGUCGGCUGUGAAAACCCGGAGCUCAACUCCGGGCCUGCAGUCGAUACGGGCAGACUGGAGUUCGGCAGGGGAGACUGGAAUUCCUGGUGUAGCGGUGAAAUGCGCAGAUAUCAGGAGGAACACCGGUGGCGAAGGCGGGUCUCUGGGCCGAUGACUGACGCUCAGGCACGAAAGCGUGGGGAGCAAACAGG